This 120-nucleotide ribosomal RNA is filed under the name Pogona vitticeps (central bearded dragon). Lineage: Eukaryota; Metazoa; Chordata; Lepidosauria; Squamata; Agamidae. The record is from RNAcentral.
GACUUCAGCCUCACCAUUCUGUACACAUCUGAUCUUGUCUGAUUUCGGAAGCUAAGAAGGGUAAGAACUGGGGAGCACUUGUAUGGAAAGCAACAAGGGAAUACCAGAAAUUUCCAGUCA